GUGUUGACUGCUAAUUAAAGAACUACGUUAUCCUAUACAACAACUGCUUGCAAAAAUAUGUGGGUAAGGAGUAGUCUGAAUUGAGUUAUGGAAUAUCACAUUCUACCUCGCUUAUUGCACUAACUAUGCUGGCCGUGGUGCUUUCCCAAAUUUGACAAGCAAUAUUGCAUACACCUCACUAGUGCAAGGCGAUCAUGUGCAACUACGUGUCAAUGUUUGUCUUGUACACCUUAGCUUCCAGUUAGGAAGUUGCCCUUUAGAGCAACAACGACCUCCGUCUCAGACCUUCCCAAGGGCAAUAUCAGGAAGCGUGAGCUUCACGUACGUAACCCUUAAAGCGAGCAUCUCACCCACACACUUAAGCAUCAAUUCAUGUUACGUACCUGUUUUGGUUUUCACCCAACGGCAUUAAUGUGGAAAAGAAGAAGUGCUGAUGGUGUGGAAUGAAAAGAAUGGAGUUUGGAGUGCGGAGUGCGAUUGCGCCAUUACAAUCUCUAGCACUCGGCAUAGUAGAAACUGCAGGGUUCGUUGUUAAAUUAAAACGUUUUCUCAAUUGUUAUUGAACACUACAUACUAAGUUCAGUACACUGUUUUCCAACCAAACUUUAUUAAAUUGAAUGAUUGAAAACAA
This is a long non-coding RNA of Xenia sp. Carnegie-2017, 631 nucleotides long. RefSeq lists it as uncharacterized. The record is from RefSeq and is a predicted model, not a curated record. Lineage: Eukaryota; Metazoa; Cnidaria; Anthozoa; Malacalcyonacea; Xeniidae. The transcript has 2 exons.